AACCAUCCUUAAUUAAAUUUUUGAAUUGAACCCAAUACAGGCAAUCCUAAUUCUUUCUCUACAUCUUCUUCAUCUUUAAUUCGCUUAUCGAAAAUUACUUUGAAGAAGAUAUAUAUAAGCGCGACAACUAAUCCUAAAAAGAAUGCACCGAUUAGAUUCACUACAGUUUUUGGUGCGACUUUAACUGCUGUA
Molecule: small RNA, 192 nt
Filed under: Staphylococcus aureus
Lineage: Bacteria; Bacillati; Bacillota; Bacilli; Caryophanales; Staphylococcaceae
Description: HMPRNC0000_0149
Source: RNAcentral